Molecule: long non-coding RNA, 6427 nt
Organism: Triticum aestivum (bread wheat)
Lineage: Eukaryota; Viridiplantae; Streptophyta; Magnoliopsida; Poales; Poaceae
Exons: 4
Source: RefSeq, a predicted model, not a curated record
CUUCCCGUCCUUCCCUAAAAAAAUAACUCCUCCCGUCCUGAAAAGGCACUAGCCGCCUCCCCAAGCCCAACUCGCCGAAACCCAGCACCCCAUGACCCGAUCGAUCACCGAUGGCGUUCGGCGAGGUCAUGCCCUAGGCCUCAUCCUCGGCCGCCCUGACAGCGGAUCGAAUCAGCGUAGUUGGCGCAUGGGACGGCUCCCUGGAGGUGUACCUGGGCGCUUGGACGGGGCUGAUGCUGCGCGUCGAGGUGGCGCGGUGGGCCGGGGUCCCGGCGCAUGCCGUGGCGAGCUAAUCUCAACCUGACGCUGGUCACCAGCGCGGCAUCAUGCCACCUGGCCGGCGCUGCAGCGACGUGGUUAAGAGGGAGGUGGAUGAGGCAGAGUCUGCGCUCGGCGUCGCGGAGAUCUGGAGGAUACAUGAUUGUGUGGACACAGCGGCGGCGUGGCCGGGUGGGGCGGCAUGUUGAUUUUCUUGGGGGUAGGUUUUUGCUGCUGGUGACCUUUUAAGAAAUUUAAGAGAUCCAGUGCACGGAAAGAUGCUAUUGAGUUGGGAGACCAGGUGGAUUUGAAGCUCAUUGGUCAACGUUCAGUCAAAUUUCAUAUUGAACAGUUAGUCUGCAUAUGAGAACACACGUAUGUCAAUGGAUAAGCAAUUGACCUCUAAUCAAUCAAGGUUUGCAAACUCAUCCAGAUCUCAAUCUUAAUGGUUCAAGAAUCAACAUUUACACUUUAAAGUGUAUUCAUUGACCAAUUCUUUUUGAAAUAUGCAUCUGGGCCAUCGAAGGCAAGAUGCUUAUGUUAUGUUUUUAUUCUGAUGACAAAUUAUCUUCUUUGCCUGUUGGUAGCUGCUCAUGAGAAAUUAGGAUAUAUUUUUACUGCUUUAGAUGCAAGCAUCUUCUUUUCCAUGGGCCUGCAGCUAUUUGUUUGGAAAUUAAGUUGAAGUUAACGACAUUUGUUAUUCUGCAUGGGCAGGGAUGCAGAGUAUUAAAUAUUUCUAGGACAUAAAGUACAUCGGCAAUUUAAGUAUUUAAGUAGUGUAUCAAUUUUCACUGUAUUCUCAGUUUUAAUCUUAGUGUAGCUUAUGCCCAGAUCUUUAGUAUAUGAUUAAUCUCAUCUAUUUCUUGUGAGAUGCCGACUGAAUAAGGAAACCAGUAAAGUUUCCCGUUCUUAGAUCUAAUGCUUCCUCUCUCUCAAUAUGAUAACCAUCUAAAUUGUUAUUAUUAUUUACACUGUGAUGCUAAUCUUAUUUGUUUUGAAAAAGAUGAAUCUACAUGAUAGAUAUGAACUCAGUGAAUAAAAUUUGGGACUAACAUUCAAGCACAAUAAUGUGAAUACAACAUAUGCCUGCUGGUGUGCUGGAAUUCACCAGUUGUAUCAAGAAAACAAAAAGUAAAACAGGUAUGCCAAAUGAGUGAAAUUUCUUAUUCUACUCUUUACAGCUAAAAGCAUAAUCUGCCUUAUUUUUCUACCAAGAUACCCGAAUAGUUAUAGUCAAUAUAUUGGUUUUCUUGGUUUUGACCCGGAAACUCGAUGUAGUUGUAACCCCCGGUAUGAUUGAAAAUCUAAAAUUAUAAUUUCACAUGACUAAAUGUCCCCAUUAAAUUUAUUUCUGUUGUCUCUAGAAUUAACAGUGCUUCAAAUGAUAAUUUCCAACUACCACUCUUAGAUAUUGGUUCAUCGUUUGCACUCUUAAAAUUACAAUGUGUUUUGUCGGAGCUGGUUUGCCCUGAUCUCACCAAUCCAAUAACUCAUGAAUUUUUUAUCUAUUUGAAUUACAUAAUACAGGGUUAAAUAUGUAGACGUGUGAUUCUUUGUUUUAGUUGUCUCCCGCUGAACAUAUAUUCUUAGCUGCGUAUUUUUUAGUUUUCUGCAGGUUGUUGGGAAUGUUAAUUCAAUCAGUGCUCUACUUGACAGGUCUUGACUUCUUUAUUACUUAUUACUUGCUUAACAACCGUUUUUAAAAAAUGCGUAGCAAUCUGUUGUAGCUGUAAUAUAUUGAGUCGACAAACUAUGCUAUAAUCUUCUUAGCCUUUGCCAUAAUUUCAAGCAAGAAUUUGGCGGGACUAACAUUUAUUUGCAGGCAAAAGAGAGAGUACAACUUUAUCACGUGCGAGUGUGAUGAAAUGAUAGCCCCAAAUUUCAAUACAGCGUUGAGGAGAAGUACUACAUCAUUGAUGGUAUAUCUUGUUAAUUUCUUAGUAUCUUGGAACAGUGAUGUGCCAUGUUAACAAGUGAUGGCUAAUUUGUGUGUUGUUUGUAAUCUUUGCAGUUUUGAGUACUGGUCUCACCUUCUUUGAUUGAUAAUUUUUUUACUCUUUCACGUCAUUUACUUCAAAGUUUGAGUUUUCCCUCAUAUAUAUACACAUUGAUAUGGUUACGAGUAAGGGAUGUGGAUCAAUUUGCACGUAGGGUAAGGGCAUGUGAAUUUUUUUCUCCCGUUGCAACGCACAGGCAACUUUGCUAUUCAAACCUAUAGCCUAUAAUAAACCCCAGUUUGUUAAUCAAGUUUAAACAUUUCAGUUCCGUUUUUGGGUCGGAAUUUCAGUGGCCAUGUAAGACUGGAAAUUGCUCAUCAUGUGUUCCUUAAUGUAUAUUGUGCCAAUAGCUAUUAAACCUUCGAUAUGCUGGAGGGCGAUGAGGUGGCAUGGAGCUAAACAUAGAUUGAAGAUUCUGUCAUGGGUUCCUUAGAGAAGAUGGAACAAAUGAGUAUGGAGAUCCAGCUGUUGAAGAUGCCGAGGGACAAGAACAUUCAGAAGUUUUUCGCCUAACAAGAAUACAUUUAACAUCAUCACAGAUUGCUUUAGGUAAGCUUUACUCAGGUUGCUACUCAUGUCAUAGUGUCUAUAAUUUAGCUAGAGUCAGGUUCAGAGUUGACUGAUUUUUUUUGGCACAACCAUCAAGCAACCUGAGUAAAGCUGACCUAAGCCAAUGAUUUUGUUCUUUUAGCUAGAGCCAGGUUCAGAGUUGUUCACUCGGGAUUUUUUGGGCACGGACAUCAAGCAAGCUAGCACGUAUUGUUUAACUGAAGGAAAGGGCAACUAAGCUUUGAAUGCUACAUUCUUUGUUCUGAACAAAUGUAGCUACUAUUUGUAUUCGAUGCUGGACUCCUGGUAACAAUUUAUUACUGUACAUGUUAUUUCUUUUUUUGGUGAGUCUUUUCUAGGAUUAUGGAGUUAACGGGUGUUACUUUUGACCUGCUAAUACAGUUGUGUUAAACUUUUUGCUCUUCGAAAGCAACUAUGUAAGUCUGACGCUAACAUAGUGUUUACUGCUAAAAUACUUUAGUUUAACUUAAGAGUCAGGAGCACAAGUAGAAUUUCAUAGAAAUCUGUCUAGCUCCUGUAGAUGAAAGACUUCCUGCAAGUGAGCUCUUGAAUAACUCUUACCUCCAGGAAGAUGAGGUCUAUCCCAGCGCCUCCAGUUUCAGUCUCUCUGGUCUCAAGUGUGACUGAAGAUAGGUGGCAAUCUGCAAGUUUCGUGCUUUGGAAAGGCUGUUUAAAGAAUGCUGAGUUGUCAAGCGAGGUGCUGCAGUGGCUGGCGUUGCCGGGCAUGGGACAACGUCCCUAGGCUCCUGCUUGAGGCAAGCCUCUCCGACCUCCUCGGAUGCCUUCUAGGAACUGGCACUGCGUAUGAUGGCCUCCUCACCUAGAACCUAGGUUGACCUAGCCACUGCCAUCGAAGCGGAGAGUUGACAACAUAUGUAUGAUUGUUCGACGGUGUCAGUCCUGCCAUUGGAAUGUUCAAAACUAUGAAUUGAGUGAUUACAAAUAUGCUUUGAUCAAUGAAAUGAAACGAAAUUUUGCUACAUCUUGUUGUGCAGAUAUAGGGCUUGAAUUAUUUUCGGUCGUAUCAUCUUGGCCCUAUAAUAAAAAAGCGAGUGUGGGAGGACGCGACCAGUUGCUACCAGUAUCAAGGUGCACUUGAUGUGUAGUAUUCAGUCAAUGAGAACCAUAGAAAAAUGGAGGCACCGACUCUAGGAGUAUAUAUCCGCUCCCAAAAAAAGUGUGCUAUAUAUUGAAUGGUUCAAUAUAGGUUAGUGAAUUUGAGGCAGCAAAAGGCUUUAGAGCUAAAAUCAAUAGGAAAUGGUAUUUGUUUCUUAAGAAGUUUUUUGAUAAAUGUAAAAAAGAAAAUGAAUUAGUUAGUAGAGAAAAGGAGACCAUGACUUGUUUCUCUAUUUAUCCUUGCUCCACACAUGUUGUGAUUAGAGGACACUGUGUAAUCGCUGGCAGUGAGGGACUAAGAUAAGUGGUGACAUGGUGUCGGCGGUGGACUAAGAUAAGUGGUGACACGGGUGGGACACCAUGUUGAAAUAGAGGACGUUGAAUUGUGGGGGUCUUGAGCCGUAUUUAUCAGCCCGUUGCAACGCACAGGCAUGUUUACUAGUUAGAAAUAAAGCACGGAUUGAGUCUCUGGAUUCACCAUCGCGGCGCUUUUGCAAAAACGUUUCAAUCUUGCAAAAAGACCAUGUAGUUUUUUGGUAUUCAACCCACGCUCCUUUUUGAAGUGGCAGCACACACGAGCAUAUGCAUGCUCUCCUCGAUGCAACAGGCGGCGCCGCCGCGGGCGCUCCUCGAUCCAUACGGGCGGCGCCACCGCCACCUGCGGCUGGUCUUCUUCUCCAGCCAUCUGCCGCCCUUCUCCCCUCCCCAUUCGUUGCCCUCCUCUACCCUCCCGCCCCUAAUCUUCUCUGGCACUACCCCCAGCCUCCUGCUGCCGUGCCUCGAUCCAUACGGGCGUCACCGCCAGCGGGGGGCGGUCUUCUUCUCCGGCCAUCCACCGCCCUCCUCCCCUCCCCCUCCCUCCUAUUCUUCUUCUUCUUCUCCGGCCAUCCGUCGCCCUCCUCAAAUCCCGCGGAGUUCGCCGGAGGAAGAACAUCCGCCGUCCGAACGUGCUACACCAGAGGGAAGCACCGGAAAGUGGAUGUUUCUAUGCAGCAUCACCCAAAAGUUUAAUUUGAGAUAUUCCAUCAAGCGUAUGUUCCAUAGCCUCCAUCAUGUAGUUUAUUUCCUUUGCUUCAGGUUGUACAGAGGAUUUCCUUUGUUUCAGGUUGUACAGAGGAGCUCAACGACAACUAAGGUGCUGCUAGAAUUACAUCAGCUACUAACUUACAUACAUAUAAAAAUAAACUGCAGCUUUAGCUCCAUGUAGUAAUGACUAAGUAUAUUCUAAUGCUCAUAGGGACUGAUUACUAUUUUUUACAGGUUAAUUUAAUCAAUUCCUUGGCGUACUUUAGGAAACGAGGAUAUAUUGGGUGGUCUCCGACAGCCCGACGACAAUACAGAGUCGUCGUAGUUGGGUUGUGUUCAUGUAACACUGAAACUUGACAUAGUUAGUAUAAGAAGGUUUGGUUUACUUCCACUAUGUUACUGUUCAGUCUAUUUUAUAAACAUGUUGAUUAGCCAUUCUGGCAAAGAGGCAUCUUCAAUAUUUCAGAAAUCUCUUUUCCAGAAACUCCAAUUCUCCUCAUAGGAAUUGAGAUGCCCAAUAUUUCUCAAUUUGCUGACAAGGUUGUAAUAUAAUCACGUUUUGCUAUUGACGUAAUGAUAUAUUCCUUGACUGAAAGCAAACCCUUUAAUUGCAUCUGUACUAAGCAUUCUUUCCGUCUAUAUCCUGUCAUGAUUUUUUUACUAGCUGUAGUGGUGUUCUUAUUAUUGUCAUUUUCCAGAAUUAUUGUCAUUUCACAGAUGGUAUAAACCUUGUUCAUGGCUAACUUAUAGAAUAGCAAACCUGGUUCAUGGCUAACUUAUAGAAUAGCAAACCUUGUUCAUGGCUAACUUAUACAAUAGCAGUAACUGAUUUGAAACCAUCAAUCUCAGGAACACUCUGACCAUGUAUUUGAUUCUGUUAAAGACCCAAUAUGUCAUGUGGUCCUGCAUCUCCUGAUGUUGGUAUUUCCAGUAAAUUUUAUUGACAGGCACUUUGGUGUCUCAGCAACCAGGUCGCCACCGACCACCACGGUGGCUCGCAGCGAUGCCCUCCCGCCACCGUAUGUACGACCAGCGGCGAGAUGGGGGGAACUCUUUGGCAUGCCGGCACACAGGAACGACACAUGCCGUACAACCUGAAGGUCACGUUCGUCAGGCUUGACUUGACCCUCACCGACGCCACCUUGCCACCUCUGUUGCCGGAGAUCAGCCGAAGAUUAGCUUGUUGCCGCUUUGCUUCAAUGGUUGCUUUAAUGCUUAAAACAUCAGAGUAUUUUUUUAGUUACAGAUUUGGCAAUACCCAGGACAUUAUGUUUCUCCAAUUCAACUAUUGGCUUUCAAGGUGGCAGUGUCAGCCAUUGCUGCUAUCACAGGAUCAUGUGACUGUAUAUUUGGUUUUUGUCAGAAUAUGAGGAAAAUGACUCUUUUGUAGUGAGAUGUGACUGCUGAAGGAAAUAUGCCCUAGAGGCAAUAAUAAAGUUAUUAUUUAUUUCCUUAUUUCA